Molecule: ribosomal RNA, 498 nt
Filed under: uncultured bacterium
Lineage: Bacteria
Description: bacterial SSU rRNA
Rfam family: Bacterial small subunit ribosomal RNA
Source: RNAcentral
GAUGAACGCUAGCUACAGGCUUAACACAUGCAAGUCGCGGGGCAGCAUGUCGGUUGCUUGCAACCGAUGAUGGCGACCGGCGCACGGGUGAGUAACGCGUAUCCAACCUGCCCUUCACCACGGAAUAAUCCAGUGAAAGUAAGACUAAUGCCCAAUGACAUUUAUAGAAGGCAUCGGAAAUGAAUUAAAGAUUUAUCGGUGAUGGAUGGGGAUGCGUCUGAUUAGCUUGUUGGCGGGGUAACGGCCCACCAAGGCGACGAUCAGUAGGGGUUCUGAGAGGAAGGUCCCCCCANAUUGGAACUGAGACACGGUCCAAACUCCUACGGGAGGCAGCAGUGAGGAAUAUUGGUCAAUGGGCGAGAGCCUGAACCAGCCAAGUAGCGUGCAGGAAGACGGCCCUAUGGGUUGUAAACUGCUUUUAUAGGGGAAUAAAGUGAGUCUCGUGAGACUUUUUGCAUGUACCUUAUGAAUAAGGACCGGCUAAUUCCGUGCCAGCAG